GGUGAGGUGGGUGAGUGGCUGAAACCAUCAGUUUGCUAAACUGACGUACGGGUGACCGUAUCGGGGGUUCGAAUCCCCCUCUCACCG
Molecule: transfer RNA, 87 nt
Filed under: Bacteroidales bacterium
Lineage: Bacteria; Pseudomonadati; Bacteroidota; Bacteroidia; Bacteroidales
Description: tRNA-Ser
Rfam family: tRNA
About the family: Transfer RNA (tRNA) molecules are approximately 80 nucleotides in length. Their secondary structure includes four short double-helical elements and three loops (D, anti-codon, and T loops). Further hydrogen bonds mediate the characteristic L-shaped molecular structure. tRNAs have two regions of fundamental functional importance: the anti-codon, which is responsible for specific mRNA codon recognition, and the 3' end, to which the tRNAs corresponding amino acid is attached (by aminoacyl-tRNA synthetases). tRNAs cope with the degeneracy of the genetic code in two manners: having more than one tRNA (with a specific anti-codon) for a particular amino acid; and 'wobble' base-pairing, i.e. permitting non-standard base-pairing at the 3rd anti-codon position.
Source: RNAcentral